UGGGCAACCUGCCCUCAGCUCUGGGAUAACUCCAAGAAAUUGGGGCUAAUACCGGAUGUGACCGCUGACCGCACGGUCUGGUGGUGGAAAGAUUUAUCGGCUGGGGAUGGGCCCGCGGCCUAUCAGCUUGUUGGUGGGGUAGCGGCCUACCAAGGCGACGACGGGUAGUCGGCCUGAGAGGGUGACCGGCCACACUGGGACUGAGACACGGCCCAGACCUCCGUACGGGAG
Molecule: ribosomal RNA, 231 nt
Filed under: uncultured bacterium
Lineage: Bacteria
Description: partial 16S ribosomal RNA
Rfam family: Bacterial small subunit ribosomal RNA
Source: RNAcentral